GUAGUUGUGGCUCGGCGGUAGAGUGCUCACCUAGCAUGUGCGAGACCCUAAGUUCGAUCCUCAGCACCACA
This 71-nucleotide transfer RNA is filed under the name Marmota monax (woodchuck). RNAcentral describes it as "tRNA.Ala". The record is from RNAcentral. Lineage: Eukaryota; Metazoa; Chordata; Mammalia; Rodentia; Sciuridae.